Molecule: small nucleolar RNA, 107 nt
Filed under: Sorghum bicolor (sorghum)
Lineage: Eukaryota; Viridiplantae; Streptophyta; Magnoliopsida; Poales; Poaceae
Description: Plant small nucleolar RNA R71
Rfam family: Plant small nucleolar RNA R71
About the family: R71 is a member of the C/D box family of snoRNAs containing the C (UGAUGA) and D (CUGA) box motifs. Multiple nearly identical copies of this snoRNA have been identified in Arabidopsis, and it is thought to function as a 2'-O-ribose methylation guide for 18S ribosomal RNA.
Source: Rfam by way of RNAcentral
CAUCCAUGAUGAAGACACUUGAGUAUAUAGUCUUGAAAAUGCUCCCAAGCUUCUAGGACUGUCUCAUCAUGUUGUAGAUAAAAGCUUGCUAUCUUCCCACGAAGAGC